This is an RNA transcript of Terrapene triunguis (Three-toed box turtle), 2587 nucleotides long. It is a transcript of the gene named D-glutamate cyclase, with no coding region annotated. The transcript has 14 exons. The record is from RefSeq and is a predicted model, not a curated record. Lineage: Eukaryota; Metazoa; Chordata; Testudines; Emydidae.
CUGCAUGGUGUCAGAGCAAAGUUGUCUUUCCUUAGAAUUGUAGCAAAUGCAAAAGAGCAUUAGUUUUUUUUCUGGGGAGCAAUAAGAGACAGGGUAAAAUGGAAGACCAAGAUUGUGUUUACUUGAAGAUAAAACAGCCUUUGCAAUAGGUGAAAGGCCAAACUAACAGAUGAAGAAAUGUUUUUUUCAGGAAGCUUGAGAUCUCUCCUUCCCCUUGCAGUCAGAAGUCUAAUUCGAUUCAACAAACUCAAUAUAAGUAAUACUUCUGGAAUGGCUAAGGGCUAUAAACAGGCAAAUGUUGUGAUUUUGCACAAAUCCCUUGCUGAUGACUUUGAAAAGUUUUGCCAUGCAAAUGAUGGACCUCUCCCACUGCUGUACAGAAGUAAACCAGGUGAAUGGAAAUGUCCUUCUCUGAGCAGCAAUUCUGAUAUCAGAACUGAUUGCCUACAAUACAGGAUAUAUGAGUAUGGAGCUUGUACUGGCACUUCGACAAGUCUAAAGGAUUAUUUUGAUCAGCUUAAAGACAUGGUGACUUUUUACUUAGGCUGCAGCUUCUCAUUUGAAAAGGCAGCCCACAAGGUUGGUGUUCCUCUAAGGAACGUUGAGCAGAAAUGCAACGUAAGCAUGUACAAGACGGAUAUGCCUUGCUGCAGAGUUGCUAGUUUUUGCUGCAAUUUAGUGGUCACAAUGAGACCGAUUCCUGAAGACCAGUUAGAAGCAGUUGUGGAAGCUACUUAUCCAUUGAAAGACUCACAUGGAGCACCUGUUCACAUUGGUAACCCUGGCCUAUUAGGAAUCCAAAACCUUUCCAGCCCAGACUAUGGAGAUCCAGUUCAGCCUCACCCUCAGGAUGUUCCAGUGUUUUGGGCCUGUGGAGUAACUGGGGUGGAAGCAGUCAGCAACUGCAAGUCUCCGCUGGCUUUUACACAUUCUCCUGGGUGUAUGUCUAUUACUGCCCUGAAGAAUGAAGAUGCUCCAGUUCAUAACUCUAAAGAAAUCCCCAUGGUCCACUGCAUUUCUCAAAAUCCUUUGCAUUAUAGCAUUGCAUCAGAAACAGCUGUGCGAAAGAUAAGAGAGCUAGAAAGUCUAAUUGGAAUAGAUCCAGGAGACCGGGGCAUGAAACAUUUGUGCUGCCAGGAUGAGCUGCUAAAGACUUGCCUCUCCCUUUCACAUGCCCGAUCAGUGCUGAUAACCACUGGAUUUCCUACUCACUUCAACCACGAGCCACCUGAAGAGAAUGAUGGACCUCCAGGAGCCAUUGCUAUGGCAGCCAUGUUGCAGAGCUUGGAGAAAGAUGUUGUUAUAGUAACAGACCAGAGAGCCAUGGGUUUGAAUAAAAAGAUUAUUGAGGAUGGUGUUCAGCAAGGGGUACUGAAGACACCAGUGCCUCUAUUGAGUUAUCAGGGAGAUGCUGCAGAGUCAGCUUUGAUGUUUCUGUGUGAGAAUGGAAAUCUUGAAAGACCCAGAUUUGAUCAGCUGAUAGCAAUAGAACGUGCAGGGAUGGCUGCUGAUGGCAAUUAUUACAAUGCAAGGAAAGUCAAUAUUAAGCAUCUAGUGGAUCCCAUAGAUGAACUGUUUCUAGCUGCACAUAACAUCCCUGGAGUCACAACAACAGGCAUUGGGGAUGGAGGAAAUGAACUGGGAAUGGGAAAAGUAAAAGAAGCUGUAAGGAAACACAUAAAAAAUGGAGAUGUUAUAGCUUGUGACGUUGAAGCUGAUUUCGCUAUUGUAGCCGGGGUCUCUAACUGGGGAGGCUAUGCUGUUGCUUGUGCUCUGUAUAUCCUCAACACCUGUGAAAUACAUGAUCGCUAUCUGAGGAAAGCUAUUGGGUUCCCCAGAUUGUCCAAGAAGGCAAACUGGGCAUCAGCACUUCCAUCCAUUACUAAGGAAGAAAAGUUGCUGAAAAUACUUAUACAGCAUGGAGUCCGUAGUGGAGUAACUGCCAGUCUCGAAAUGGAAGUGGAUGGACUGCCCUUCUACAACGUACACUCAGUUAUAAUUGAAAAACUGCUUGAGCAGAUACCGUGAUGACUUUUCCCUAACCAUUUCUAAACUCUAAAGUUUCUAUUAGAUUAUCUCUCCACCCCAAUCUAACAACAAGGGACGUUUCAUUAGCCCCAUUUGGCAGAUGAAGACAUGAGAGCUGGAGAGAUUAAAUGAUUUCAUCAAGAUCACACAAGGAGUCUGACACAGACAUGAAUGCAGCUCUCAAGGGUCCCAGGCUUGUGCCUUCACCACAAGAUCAUCUUUCCUGUUUGAUAAGUAUAAAACUCUUAGUUAUGACUCACUCAUACAGCCUAUGGCCUUAUAUAGUAAAAGGUGACCCGUGUUUCAUGAAAAAAAUCAAGUGUCUCUUCCCAUUAAAUGCAGAAGUGUUAUAACCCCAUUGCUUGUUCCUGUUUUACUAAGCCACAUAGCUGCAACAGAAAGUAGUGCUUGUAGCAACUUGUUUUUUAAAAGACAGUAUGGCAAGCAGCUCCAAUAAAGGUGCAGGUUAAAAAAAAAGAGGCUUCAUGGCAGUGAAAGUCCUAAAUGUAUCAUCUACACCAGAGGUUCUCAAACUGUGGUCCGCAGACAACCAGUGGUC